RNAcentral lists this small RNA (167 nucleotides) under uncultured Acetatifactor sp. RNAcentral describes it as "Clostridiales-1 RNA". It matches the Rfam family "Clostridiales-1 RNA". The record is from RNAcentral. Lineage: Bacteria; Bacillati; Bacillota; Clostridia; Lachnospirales; Lachnospiraceae.
GAUACCAGGGUUCCAAGGUCUUUACCCACUUGAGCUUGCUCAAAAGUAGGUAACAGACCUUGGAACCCGCCCAAAUAUGAGCACAUCGUGGGACGCCAGUCCCACACAGAUAUGCGAAUAUUUGGUAGGAUUGUGAGAGCACCGAAGGUGCGGAACAAUCCGUGGGU